AUUGAACGCUGGCGGCAGGCCUAACACAUGCAAGUCGAACGAGUGGCGGACGGGUGAGUAAUGUCUGGGAAACUGCCCGGUGGAGGGGGAUAACUACUCGAAACGGUAGCUAAUACCGCAUACAAUCGGAUAGGCCCAGAUGGGAUUGGCUAGUAGGUGGGGUAACGGCUCACCAAGGCGACGAUCCCUAGCUGGUCUGAGAGGAUGACAAGCCACACUGGGACUGAGACACGGCCCAGACUCCUACGGGAGGCAGCAGUGGGGAAUAUUGCACAAUGGGGGCAACCCUGAUGCAGCCAUCCCGCGUGUAUGAUGAAGGCCUUCGGGUUGUAAAGUACUUUCGGCAGGGAGGCGUUACCCGCAGAAGAAGCACCGGCUAACUACGUGCCAGCAGCCGCGGUAAUUC
RNAcentral lists this ribosomal RNA (406 nucleotides) under uncultured bacterium. RNAcentral describes it as "partial 16S ribosomal RNA". It matches the Rfam family "Bacterial small subunit ribosomal RNA", at positions 30 to 526 of the family's 1533-position model. The record is from RNAcentral.